UCGGCGAGUAGCGCAGCUUGGCAGCGCAACUGGUUUGGGACCAGUAGGUCGGAGGUUCGAAUCCUCUCUCGCCGAUC
This 77-nucleotide transfer RNA is filed under the name Candidatus Hoaglandella endobia. RNAcentral's name for it is "tRNA-Pro". It matches the Rfam family "tRNA". From Rfam's summary of the family: Transfer RNA (tRNA) molecules are approximately 80 nucleotides in length. Their secondary structure includes four short double-helical elements and three loops (D, anti-codon, and T loops). Further hydrogen bonds mediate the characteristic L-shaped molecular structure. tRNAs have two regions of fundamental functional importance: the anti-codon, which is responsible for specific mRNA codon recognition, and the 3' end, to which the tRNAs corresponding amino acid is attached (by aminoacyl-tRNA synthetases). tRNAs cope with the degeneracy of the genetic code in two manners: having more than one tRNA (with a specific anti-codon) for a particular amino acid; and 'wobble' base-pairing, i.e. permitting non-standard base-pairing at the 3rd anti-codon position. Lineage: Bacteria; Pseudomonadati; Pseudomonadota; Gammaproteobacteria; Enterobacterales; Enterobacteriaceae. The record is from RNAcentral.